This is a long non-coding RNA of Homo sapiens (human), 1946 nucleotides long. NCBI's taxonomy places the organism in Eukaryota, Metazoa, Chordata, Mammalia, Primates, Hominidae. The record is from Ensembl.
GGACGCUGGCUACGGGUGGCCGGGCGGGAUGUAACCGGCUGCUGAGCUGGCAGUUCUGUGUCCCCAGGCUUCGGCCCGGCCGCCGCCGCACAUAAACUGCGAGGAGGAGCUUUACGACUUCUCGGUCUUCGGGGCCGGGCGCAGCAAGGGCCAGACUCUGCGCUAGCAGGCGCUGCGCGCCAACCGGCCGGCCCCUGUCGCAGAAGGUGCAACCGAUCGCACUGUCGCGCAGAAGCUCCUCAAUGGCCAGCGCCAGCUGCAGCCCCGGCUGCCCACUCGCCUCACCUGAGCCUGGGUGGAACAAUCCAAAGUUUUAAUCAAAGAAGGUGGUAUUCAGUUGCUGCUUACAAUAGUUGAUACCCCAGGAUUUGGAGAUGCAGUGGAUAAUAGUAAUUGCUGGCAGCCUGUUAUCAAUUACAUUGAUAGUAAAUUUGAGGACUACCUAAAUGCAGAAUCGCAAGUGAACAGAUGUCAGAUGCCUGGUAACAGGGUGCACUGUUGUUUAUACUUCAUUGCUCCUUCAGGACAUGGACCGUUACAUAACUGAAGACUCCCACCUUCAGGCAGGAUUGGGUAGUACAUGUUUGUAACUACCUGGCAUUGCCUUUUGUUGAGACUUAAACCAUUGGAUAUUGAGUUUACAAAGCAUUUGCAUGAAAAAGUGAAUAUCAUCCCACUUAUUGCCAAAGCAGACACACUCAUGCCAGAGGAAUGCCAACAGUUUAAAAAACAGAUAAAGAAAUCCAAGAACAUAAAGUUAAAAUAUAUGAAUUUCCAGAAACAGAUGAUGAAGAAGAAAAAAAACUUGUUAAAAAGAUAAAGGACCAUUUACCUCUUGCUGUGGUGGGUAGUAAUACUAUCAUUGAAGUUAAUGGCAAAAGGGUCAUAGGAAGGCAGUAUCCUUGGAGUGUUGCUGAAGAUGGAGUCUCGCUCUGUCACCCAGGCUGGAAUGCAGUGGCAUGAUCUUGGCUCACUGCAACCUCCGCCUCCCGAGUUCAAGAGAUUCUUCUGCCUCAGCCUCCCAAGUAGCUGGGACUAAAGUUGAAAAUGGUGAACAUUGUGAUUUUACAGUUUUAAGAAAUAUGUUGAUAAGAACACACGCAGGACUUGAAAGAUGUUACUAAUAAUGUCCACUACGAGAACUAUGGAAUCAGAAAACUGGCAGCUGUGACUUAUCAUGGAGUUGAUAACAAGAAGAAUAAAGGGCAGCUCACUAAGGCACUUGGUGUGAAUGGAGCUUGCAGGACUGGAAGUUGCUCUGGAUGAGUCAGUGAGUGAGCGGAGCCCUCUGGCACAAAUGGAAGAAGAAAGAAGGGAGCAAGUAGCUAAAAUUAAGAAGAUGGAGAUGGAGAUGGAGCAGGUGUUUGAGAUGAAGGUCAAAGAAAAAGUUCAAAAACUGAAGGACUCUGAAGCUGAGUCUGCAGAUGUGGAUCCUGACUCCUGAGAGAAGUAGCUCACCGUGACGAAGCUGCGUUUGCUUUUAUCGAUUUGCAAAUCAAAGAAGGGGGACAUAUUGGGAGAAGGCCCCCCAAAAUCUGGCCAUAAACUGGCCACAAAACUGGCCAUAAAAUCUCUGCAGCACUGUGACAUGCUCAUGAUGGCCAUAACGCCCACGCUGGAAGGUUUUGGGUUUACCGGAAUGAAGGCAAGGAACACCUGGCCUGCCCAGGGCAGAAAACCACUUAAAGGCAUUCUUAAACCACAAACAGUAGCAUGAGCGAUCUGUGCCUUAAGGGCAUGUUCCUGCUGCAGAUAACUAGCCAGACCCACCCCUUUAUUUCAGGCCAUCCCUUCAUUUCCCAUAAGGGAUACUUUUAGUUAAUUGAAUAUCUAUAGAAACAAUGCUAAUGACUGGUUUGCUGUUAAUAAAUAAGUGGGUAAAUCUCUGUUCGGGGCUCUCAGCUCUGAAGGCUGUGAGACCCCUGAUUUCCCACUUUACACCUCUA